Molecule: ribosomal RNA, 301 nt
Filed under: uncultured bacterium
Lineage: Bacteria
Description: partial 16S ribosomal RNA
Rfam family: Bacterial small subunit ribosomal RNA
Source: RNAcentral
CAGUCGCCGCGGUAAUACAGAGGGUGCAAGCGUUAAUCGGAAUUACUGGGCGUAAAGCGCGCGUAGGUGGUUUGUUAAGUUGAAUGUGAAAUCCCCGGGCUCAACCUGGGAACUGCAUCCAAAACUGGCAAGCUAGAGUAGGGCAGAGGGUGGUGGAAUUUCCUGUGUAGCGGUGAAAUGCGUAGAUAUAGGAAGGAACACCAGUGGCGAAGGCGACCACCUGGACUGAUACUGACACUGAGGUGCGAAAGCGUGGGGAGCAAACAGGAUUAGAUACCCCUGUAGUCCCUGUCUCUUAUAC